CGUGCUGGCACGGGGCGGAGCCCGCGCGGGGACGCCUGCGCGCCGCGGGCUGACCAAGCCGAGCUUACCCUGCGGAGCCGGCGCUGGAUCCCGCGGCCGCUGCCUCGUCUUCUGUCGGCUCCGCCGCCAGCCGGGGCUCGGGCCCGGGCCCGGGCCCCCGGGACAUGGCCGUCCGGAGUGCGCAGGAUGAUGGCCCCACCUCCAGCCGCUGGGACGGCGGCGCGGGGAAGGCAGACUUUAAUGCCAAAAGGAAAAAGAAAGUGGCAGAGAUCUACCAGGCUCUGAACAGUGAUCCCACUGAUGUGGCUGCCCUUAGACGUAUGGCUAUCAGUGAAGGAGGGCUCCUGACUGAUGAGAUCAGGCGGAAAGUGUGGCCCAAGCUCCUCAAUGUCAACACCAAUGAUCCACCUCCUAUAUCAGGGAACGACCUACGACAGAUGAGCAAGGACUACCAACAAGUGCUCCUGGAUGUCAGGCGGUCUUUACGGAGGUUCCCUCCUGGCAUGCCAGAAGAACAGAGAGAAGGGCUCCAGGAAGAACUGAUCGACAUCAUCCUCCUCAUCUUGGAGCGCAACCCUCAGCUGCACUACUACCAGGGCUACCACGACAUCGUGGUCACAUUUUUGCUGGUGGUAGGCGAGAAGCUGGCAACAUCCCUGGUAGAAAAAUUGUCUACCCAUCACCUCAGGGAUUUCAUGGAUCCAACAAUGGACAACACCAAGCAUAUAUUAAACUAUCUGAUGCCCAUCAUUGACCAGGUGAAUCCAGACCUCCAUGACUUCAUGCAGAGUGCCGAGGUGGGGACCAUCUUUGCGCUCAGCUGGCUCAUCACCUGGUUUGGGCACGUCCUGUCUGACUUCAGGCACGUCGUGCGGUUAUACGACUUCUUCCUGGCCUGCCACCCACUGAUGCCCAUUUACUUUGCAGCUGUGAUCGUGUUGUAUCGAGAGCAGGAAGUCCUGGAUUGUGACUGCGACAUGGCCUCAGUCCACCACCUGUUGUCCCAGAUCCCUCAGGACCUGCCCUAUGAGACACUGAUCAGUAGAGCAGGAGACCUCUUUGUUCAGUUCCCCCCGUCCGAACUUGCUCGGGAGGCAGCUGCCCAACAGCAAGCUGAGAAAACGGCAGCCUCUACCUUCAAAGACUUUGAGCUGGCAUCAGCCCAGCAGAGGCCUGACAUGGUACUUCGGCAGCGGUUUCGGGGACUUCUGCGGCCUGAGGAGCGAACAAAAGAUGUCCUGACCAAACCAAGGACCAACCGCUUUGUGAAGCUGGCAGUGAUGGGACUGACGGUGGCACUUGGAGCAGCCGCUCUGGCUGUGGUGAAAAGUGCCCUGGAGUGGGCCCCAAAGUUUCAGCUGCAGCUGUUUCCCUAAAUGCCUGAGAAGACACUUCCUCUUACAUGACAUCAAGGUCUCACCCUUCCAUGGACAGAUUGGGAGGGGGUGGAAUUUCCUUUAUUAAAAGGGUUUCUGUCAAGGGUUUUCUAUUUCUGCACCCUUCCCCCCGUCCGUGGAUGCCUUUGCCUCAGAGGCCGGUAGCAGAGCCUGCGUGACGCUGGGCACUCGGAUCCUGAGCACAGAACUCUUUCUGCCUCACAGUGGGCUUCUGAGUGGGCUCUCUGCUGCCCCCUCUUGUGUUGAGGGAAGUGGGUUUCUGCAGCUCCCGGCUGCCUUAGGAACCCGCUGGGCCUGGUCACUGGGGAGCAUCUUGGCUGCUCGUAGUAAGCUGGACCACUGAAUGCCCUCCUGGCAGCUCCUCCCGUUCUGACUGCUUCAGCCAGACAAAGAAGGACGAAGCUGCUGCUAAAGAAGUCAGACCUUGGAAUGAAGGCGAAGGGGCAGAGAAGGCCAGCCUGGGAGCAAGAUUGGCCCCCUUUUAAGAACAGCUCCAUUAGCUGGUCAGAAAUCUAAGAGACACAUGUGAACUAGGUUACUAGGUAAAUCCUACCUAUUUUCAGGCUAGAAAUCACUUGGGCAUUUCCAGUCAAACAGGAAGGAAUGUUACAUUUUAGGGCGCAGACAUAGGCUGGUUUUUGCCUGCCUUUUUUUUUUUUUUUUCUCCUUAUUCUCUUCCACAAGCCACAUGACAAUGCAUAUAAAAGACACUUUUACUACUAUUUUUAGAAUUACAUACACCCAACAUGUAAAGUACCCUCACUUUUAAAGUAAUAGUUCCUUCAUGGAAAAAAAAAAUCGUUCUCGUCAGAAGGAUAAGCUUCUAAAACCCUGCAGUUUCCUUUCUACUCAAUUAUUUAACAUUUCACUUUAGUCAGAGUUGCUAUUUGUAAGCAGCCCCACACUUCCGUAGUGCCCUCUUCUUCUCCAGCUCCCCUUCCUUCCCUCCUGUUUUCCUCCAGUCACCCUUCUACUCCCAAAUAGGCAUCCACUCACAACCUUGGCUUUGUUUUUUGGGUUUAACUUAUCUCCUCAGCUGCUGGUCUCUCCUUCCUGGUAGGAAAUGUCACUGGGAACUCGUCCGCACCCAGAAGGGGACAAGCUGCAUCCUGAAGCGUGUGGCGGGAGCCUGGGACAGCCAGCUCGAGGCUUCCUAAGGACUCUCCAGGUCUCAAGAACAAGUGGCUUUAGCUUUAGACAUCUGGCCUUGAUGCUCCCUCCCUUCCACCCCUGACCUGGAGAUGUGCUGUAUCUGUGGACUCCUGGUUGGCCUUGACUUGCCCGGAGAGCUUGGACAGUACCUGCAGUCCUGUUUCUGUUUUUCCCGAGGCAAGAACCCACGUUGCCUGGGUCCACUGUUUCCUUGGCCCAGAGGGGAGACGUAAGGGGGCUGAAGGCUGAGCAGGCAUCACUCAGCUCCCCGACCGUGUCCCAUCACCGUAGGCCAGCUGCCCAUGCUGUCCUUUGAUUUGACUUGUGGAGGACACAGGGCUGGCCAGGACACCGCCCUGCCUCUGGGACCUCACCAGAGAACUGCAUUGAAGGAGCAAUUGGUUUUCAGUGGCAGUUUCAUAGUUGAUUGAAUGUAAAGAGAAUUUUGAUAAAUAGAAAACUGAAGGAAGGGUAUGUGUGGUGAAAUAAAUAUUUGGGUUUUGUCCCCACUUCCCCUGAAACCCUUAGAAUUUUCUGAGUGAUAGGAGUGUCUUUUGUUCAUAAUGAUUUCCUUUUGAUCCCACCUGAGUUUAUGCUAAUGAAGUGACUUAAGGUGGGACCCCUGGAUGGCACAGGUCACCGGAAAGACCAAGUGAUUAGAGCGUGAGAACUUUGAGCCCCACCACUGACCUCCUGGGAGGGGAGGGGAGGCUGGACAUUGAGCACUGCAAAAACUCCUGAUUCAGAGAUCGGGAGAGCCGCUGGGUUGGCACACACGUCAAGGUGCUGGGAGGGUGGCAUGGCCCGAGAGGGCUUGGGAACACUGCACCCUCUUCCCCCCCGUUCCUUGCCCUAUUCAUCUCUUUUAUUUGGCUGUUCCUGAGUUGUGUCCUUUAUAAUAAAUCAGUACAUGUAAGUAAA
Molecule: RNA transcript, 3470 nt
Organism: Aethalodelphis obliquidens (Pacific white-sided dolphin)
Lineage: Eukaryota; Metazoa; Chordata; Mammalia; Artiodactyla; Delphinidae
Gene: TBC1D20
Gene name: TBC1 domain family member 20
Exons: 9
Source: RefSeq, a predicted model, not a curated record